GAUUACCAAGGAGUUUGAGGAGAGGAAGAUUGAACUCGAAGCUAAGGCUCUAGAGAUCUAUCAGGCCUCAGACGCUGAUAUCAAGGUCUGCAUUACUUGUCAAAGUUAAAUUUGAUCGAAAUUCCAUAAAGAACAAGGUAUGUUGCUGAAAAAUUUGUACAUAACAAUGUGAUUUCUUAAUCAAGAAACUACUUUUCAUUAAAUAAAAGGCGGCUGACAUUCCAUGUUGAAUCAUUAAAUUGGUUUAGUGGUUCCUCUCCUAUCAAGGCUAGGCAACUGCAGUGCAAGAUUGUUUCAACAAACUUGGUUGGUUCAUUAAUCCGUAUGAAGUAAUUCAUCUCAUGGAGUUCGAGACAAGGGAGGGCAAAGGGAAGAAAUCAUAGACAUGCAUGCUACUAGCAAGAGGAUAUGAAGACAUUAUUGAAAGUAACAAAGUAUUGAACUUCUUAUCACAAAAAAUGGGAAGAAAAGUUUAUCAAGUAAGGUAGGCAAAGCAAAGAAAAGGAGAAGGUUUGUAAAAUGAUUCAAAAGGUGAAAUAUUCAAAUCAUUUAUAUCUAGGAGGAUCUGAUCCCUGUGAUCAUGAGCGUCGUGAUAGAAUGUAAAGAUUAGAUUACUUAAGGUGAGAUUUAAAAAUUUAUACAUUUGCUUAGACGAUGUAAAUAUUUAUUUAUCCCAAUGUUAAUUUUAUGAUACUUUUGGAUUAGAAA
Molecule: long non-coding RNA, 708 nt
Organism: Zingiber officinale
Lineage: Eukaryota; Viridiplantae; Streptophyta; Magnoliopsida; Zingiberales; Zingiberaceae
Exons: 3
Source: RefSeq, a predicted model, not a curated record